Molecule: ribosomal RNA, 253 nt
Filed under: uncultured bacterium
Lineage: Bacteria
Description: partial 16S ribosomal RNA
Rfam family: Bacterial small subunit ribosomal RNA
Source: RNAcentral
UACGUAGGUGACAAGCGUUGUCCGGAUUUACUGGGCGUAAAGAGCGCGCAGGCGGUCGAUCAAGUCGAGUGUGAAAGCCCCCGGCUCAACUGGGGAGGGUCAUUCGAUACUGAUCGACUCGAAGGCAGGAGAGGGUAGUGGAAUUCCCGGUGUAGUGGUGAAAUGCGUAGAUAUCUGGAGGAACACCGGUGGCGAAGGCAGCCUUCUGGGCCAACACUGACGCUCAUGCACGAAAGCGUGGGGAGCAAACAGG